AGUGAACGCUGGCGGUAGGCCUAACACAUGCAAGUCGAACGGCAGCACAGGAGAGCUUGCUCUCUGGGUGGCGAGUGGCGGACGGGUGAGGAAUACAUCGGAAUCUACUCUGUCGUGGGGGAUAACGUAGGGAAACUUACGCUAAUACCGCAUACGACCUACGGGUGAAAGCAGGGGACCUUCGGGCCUUGCGCGAUUGAAUGAGCCGAUGUCGGAUUAGCUAGUUGGCGGGGUAAAGGCCCACCAAGGCGACGAUCCGUAGCUGGUCUGAGAGGAUGAUCAGCCACACUGGAAAUGAGACACGGUCCAGACUCAUACGGGGGGCAGCAGUGGGGAAUAUUGGACAAUGGGCGCAAGCCUGAUCCAGCCAUACCGCGUGGGUGAAGAAGGCCUUCGGGUUGUAAAGCCCUUUUGUUGGGAAAGAAAUCCAGCUGGCUAAUACCCGGUUGGGAUGACGGUACCCAAAGAAUAAGCACCGGCUAACUUCGUGCCAGCAGCAGCCGCCG
This 506-nucleotide ribosomal RNA is filed under the name uncultured bacterium. RNAcentral describes it as "partial 16S ribosomal RNA". It matches the Rfam family "Bacterial small subunit ribosomal RNA", at positions 29 to 523 of the family's 1533-position model. The record is from RNAcentral.